CCUAUGGGGGGCAGCAGUCGCGAAAACUUCACAAUGGGGGCAACCCCGAUGAGGGAAUUCCUAGUGCUAGCACAAUUGUGUUAGCUUUUCUCUAGCGUAGAUAACUGGAGGAAUAAGGGCUGGGAAAGACGGGUGCCAGCCGCCGCGGUAAUACCUGCAGCCCAAGUGGUGGUCGAUUUUAUUGAGUCUAAAACGUUCGUAGCCGGUUCGAUAAAUCUUUGGGUAAAUCGGGGGGCUUAACCUUCCGUCUUCCGAGGAGACUGUCGAACUUGGGACCGGGAGAGGCUAGAGGUACUUCUGGGGUAGGGGUAAAAUCCUGUAAUCCUAGAAGGACCACCGGUGGCGAAGGCGUCUAGCUAGAACGGAUCCGACGGUGAGGGACGAAGCCCUGGGUCGCAAACGGGAUUAGAUACCCCCGUAGUCC
This 424-nucleotide ribosomal RNA is filed under the name uncultured Thermoplasmatales archaeon. RNAcentral describes it as "bacterial SSU rRNA". It matches the Rfam family "Archaeal small subunit ribosomal RNA", at positions 322 to 747 of the family's 1478-position model. The record is from RNAcentral. Lineage: Archaea; Methanobacteriati; Thermoplasmatota; Thermoplasmata; Thermoplasmatales.